GAAAAAGAUCUGAAGAGUAUUUGU
This 24-nucleotide non-coding RNA is filed under the name Arabidopsis thaliana (thale cress). The record is from RNAcentral. Lineage: Eukaryota; Viridiplantae; Streptophyta; Magnoliopsida; Brassicales; Brassicaceae.